RNAcentral lists this small RNA (287 nucleotides) under Congregibacter litoralis KT71. RNAcentral's name for it is "5' ureB small RNA". It matches the Rfam family "5' ureB small RNA". Lineage: Bacteria; Pseudomonadati; Pseudomonadota; Gammaproteobacteria; Cellvibrionales; Halieaceae. The record is from Rfam by way of RNAcentral.
CCUCUUCGAUCUGUUGCGGGCAGAUAAAGUGGAUAUGCGCAUCGAUGCCGCCGGCGGUAAGAAUCUGUCCUUCGCCGGCGAUGAUCUCCGUGCCCGGCCCGAUGGGAAAAUCAAUCCCUGGCUGCACGUCGGGGUUGCCCGCUUUGCCAAUACCGCUGAUGCGCCCCCCCUUGAUUGCCACGUCGGCUUUGACUACGCCCCAGUAAUCAAGAAUCAGGGCGUUGGUAAUCACCGUAUCCGGUGACUCUGCACAGCUGACCUGGGAUUGCCCCAUGCCGUCGCGAAUG